UUUUCGGAUCUAGAGACCGGCGCACGGGUGCGUAACGCGUAUGCAAUCUACCUUUUACAGAGGGAUAGCCCAGAGAAAUUUGGAUUAAUACCUCAUAGUAUUAUGAAAUGGCAUCAUUUUAUAAUUAAAGUCACAACGGUAAAAGAUGAGCAUGCGUCCCAUUAGCUAGUUGGUAAGGUAACGGCUUACCAAGGCAACGAUGGGUAGGGGUCCUGAGAGGGAGAUCCCCCACACUGGUACUGAGACACGGACCAGACUCCUACGGGAGGCAGCAGUGAGGAAUAUUGGACAAUGGGCGCAAGCCUGAUCCAGCCAUGCCGCGUGCAGGAUGACGGUCCUAUGGAUUGUAAACUGCUUUUGUACGAGAAGAAACACUACUUCGUGAAGUAGCUUGACGGUAUCGUAAGAAUAAGGAUCGGCUAACUCCGUGCCAGCAGCCGCGGUAAUACGGAGGAUCCAAGCGUUAUCCGGAAUCAUUGGGUUUAAAGGGUCCGUAGGCGGUUUAGUAAGUCAGUGGUGAAAGCCCAUCGCUCAACGGUGGAACGGCCAUUGAUACUGCUAGACUUGAAUUAUUAGGAAGUAACUAGAAUAUGUAGUGUAGCGGUGAAAUGCUUAGAGAUUACAUGGAAUACCAAUUGCGAAGGCAGGUUACUACUAAUUUGAUUGACGCUGAUGGACGAAAGCGUGGGUAGCGAACAGGAUUAGAUACCCUGGUAGUCCACGCCGUAACGAUGGAUAC
This 739-nucleotide ribosomal RNA is filed under the name Flavobacterium sp. RNAcentral describes it as "bacterial SSU rRNA". It matches the Rfam family "Bacterial small subunit ribosomal RNA", at positions 79 to 816 of the family's 1533-position model. The record is from RNAcentral. Lineage: Bacteria; Pseudomonadati; Bacteroidota; Flavobacteriia; Flavobacteriales; Flavobacteriaceae.